UGCGUAUGUCCCAACCAUCAUCACUCCUUCCGUCGGGUUGUAAACCAUGCCUUCCACGAAAUCCGGGAUUUUCGACUUGUCACCGUCUUUGGGCGCGAAAGAAUCAAUGUAACCUUGAGCUAAGGCUUGAAGAUCUCCCUUGACUGGUAUGUAAGUGAGUCUCAUGUACUCCUUGAUUUUAAUAAGCUUGAUCUCAGCAGCUACAAGGAGUCCAAGAGUUCCUUGCGACCACGGGAUUGCGUAGAAAAGAUCGGAAUACUCAUUAUCCUUUGUGGCACGGACAAGUUCCCCACCCGCAAGAACGAUCUCGUAAGCCUCAACGGUAUCCGCAAACAAACCGUGGAUGUGAGAGCUUCCUUCAAUACCAUAUCCAUUGAUGAGUCCACCAACGGUAAGGUCGUCAAGCUCAGCAACAACAGCGAGAGACAGGUUCAUUGGAACGGUGGCACGGGAAAUCUGUCCCAUGUUGACAAGAGGCUCCACUCUAGCAAUCAUCUUCUCCUUGUUGAUCUCAAGGAUGUUACGGAACUCGCCCAAGUCAACCUCGAAAUGGCGGGCUCUCUUGUAGUCAACGUUCCUCAUUCCCACGGCGAUCCACGGCUUACGAGCAGUGCAGACAAGCCCGUCCUUGGCAGCAUCCCUAUUCUUAAGCCUUUUGAUGACUUUCUUGACAUUCUCGUCGUGUUCCUUCUGGCGUUUCUCAUAUGACUUGGACUCGGACCACAUGUCCCCGAGGUAGAUGAGGAAAUAGAAUGUGGCU
This 760-nucleotide long non-coding RNA is filed under the name Arabidopsis lyrata. RNAcentral's name for it is "long non-coding RNA (ALYR_LNC002351)". The record is from RNAcentral. Lineage: Eukaryota; Viridiplantae; Streptophyta; Magnoliopsida; Brassicales; Brassicaceae.